AUAGACGAAGCUUAGGGUCUCUUUGGGUUUGCAACCCUUACCCUCCUGGAAAAAAUCAUAGUUGCUAGACUGCGACACUUCAGACCAGGUACUAUUAGAGCCGCUAAUGGACGACGAGCUAUUUUCCGCUAUCCGGAGCUCAAGCAUUUGAGCCGCUAAAUGGACGAGACUCCUGGGGUAAAGAAUGCAGAGACUGAGGAGAAAACACUCGUAUGGAGCAGGGAGUAGGUAUUGUACUACUUCCUGGUAUGGAGCACUGAGAAGCGCAUUAGGCGAUUUGAUCGCAGGACAAGAGAGGAGCUGAUGGACGAUCUCUCCAGUGUCCCUCUUGGUUCGGAGCAGCGCCGAGUGCUGACGUUGGGACUUGGAUCCAAGGGACUGCCAUGGGUUCGCCUGCAGCAGUGGUCUAUGCCGACAUUGUUAUGCUGUAUUUGGAGAAGCGGUACGUUUUGCCGAUCUUAGAGGGGGAGGGUUUAGAGGUUCAGGUUUAUAGACGCUUUAUCAUUGCAUGGUUGCGAAGGUCAAGUUCAGCGCACUUUAGAUAGGAUUAAUAAGUGUUCGGCCCUCAAGUUUUCUCAUGAACUGGCACAUGAUGGCAUUGAUUUCCUGGACACCACAGUUUUCCGUAGUAAGGGAUACAUGUCGGUGAAGCCUCAUUUCAAGUUCACCAAUCGUUUCCUGUAUCUGCUUGUCGGUAGUAACCACCCCUGUAGUAUGGGUAAAGGUGUGUUCACUGGGGAGUUGAUCCGUAUCCGUCGGUCUUCGACCCUUGACCACCACUACGAAGCUGCUGCCGAGCGGCCGAAGCAGGCUUUCCGGGCCCGUGUAUACAAGCGCUCCAUCUUUCAUCUUUCAGACCCGUACACUAGGAAUGGAUGCGCAGGGAAGAGUUCUAGCAUCCGUAGCUGCCUCAGGGGUGCCACUUCUCCCAUCAGCGUCGACUAGUCCGCCGAUCUCACUCAGCUCUGCUCUCCGAGCAUUCUGCUUCCAACACGACUUCCCGAAAGAAAAUGUGCUAGCGCAUUAGAAGGAGGUGACAGAUGCGCCUGCAGGAGAAUACAUGCUUAAGAGAAGGCAGAAACAUGCCCGGAUCCACCAGAACUAGUGCUGGCAAGUCAACAGAGGCGAGUACUGAUAAUGUUCCAGAUUGUGGUAGGAUCACAUAAGCAAAAUU
Sycon ciliatum is the source of this 1174-nucleotide long non-coding RNA. RefSeq lists it as uncharacterized. Lineage: Eukaryota; Metazoa; Porifera; Calcarea; Leucosolenida; Sycettidae. The transcript is spliced from 6 exons. The record is from RefSeq and is a predicted model, not a curated record.